This 409-nucleotide ribosomal RNA is filed under the name uncultured microorganism. Its description in RNAcentral is "bacterial SSU rRNA". It matches the Rfam family "Bacterial small subunit ribosomal RNA", at positions 509 to 917 of the family's 1533-position model. The record is from RNAcentral.
CAGCCGCCGCGGUAAUACGGAGGGCGCGAGCGUUGUCCGGAUUCACUGGGCGUAAAGCGGGUGUAGGCGGUUGGGCAAGUCGGACGUGAAAGCCCACGGCUCAACCGUGGAGGGUCAUUGGAAACUGGGGGACUUGAGUGCAGAAGAGGAGAGCGGAAUUCCACGUGUAGCGGUGAAAUGCGUAGAGAUGUGGAGGAACACCAGUGGCGAAGGCGGCUCUCUGGUCUGUAACUGACGCUGAGGCGCGAAAGCGUGGGGAGCAAACAGGAUUAGAUACCCUGGUAGUCCACGCCGUAAACGAUGAGUGCUAAGUGUUAGAGGGGUUUUCCCUUUAGUGCUGUAGCUAACGCGUUAAGCACUCCGCCUGGGGAGUACGGCCGCAAGGCUGAAACUUAAAGGAAUUGGCGGG